RNAcentral lists this transfer RNA (69 nucleotides) under Samariscus latus (deep-body righteye flounder). RNAcentral describes it as "tRNA-His". It matches the Rfam family "tRNA". Rfam says of the family: Transfer RNA (tRNA) molecules are approximately 80 nucleotides in length. Their secondary structure includes four short double-helical elements and three loops (D, anti-codon, and T loops). Further hydrogen bonds mediate the characteristic L-shaped molecular structure. tRNAs have two regions of fundamental functional importance: the anti-codon, which is responsible for specific mRNA codon recognition, and the 3' end, to which the tRNAs corresponding amino acid is attached (by aminoacyl-tRNA synthetases). tRNAs cope with the degeneracy of the genetic code in two manners: having more than one tRNA (with a specific anti-codon) for a particular amino acid; and 'wobble' base-pairing, i.e. permitting non-standard base-pairing at the 3rd anti-codon position. The record is from RNAcentral. Lineage: Eukaryota; Metazoa; Chordata; Actinopteri; Pleuronectiformes; Samaridae.
GUACAUAUAGUUUAAUUAAGACAUUAGACUGUGGCUCUAAAAAUAGGGGUUAAAGCCCCCUUACGUACC